AUAAUGAUACUUCCGUCCAGUCACAGCCCCCACCGAAAUGGGGAUCAAGCAAUGAGGGCGGCCGACAGAGAUCCUGCCGGGGGUGAGAGUCCCAUGA
Anaerotruncus colihominis DSM 17241 is the source of this 97-nucleotide non-coding RNA. NCBI's taxonomy places the organism in Bacteria, Bacillati, Bacillota, Clostridia, Eubacteriales, Oscillospiraceae. The record is from Rfam.